This 2012-nucleotide ribosomal RNA is filed under the name human gut metagenome. RNAcentral's name for it is "bacterial LSU rRNA". It matches the Rfam family "Bacterial large subunit ribosomal RNA", at positions 831 to 2841 of the family's 2925-position model. The record is from RNAcentral.
AAUCAAACCCGGAGAUAUCUCGUUCUCCCCGAAAUAGCUUUAGGGCUAGCCUCGGCCGUUAACCCGCGGUGGUAGAGCCACCGGAUCGACGAGGGGGCUUCACCGCCUACCGACUCGAACCGAACUCCGAAUGCCGCGGGUCGAGAGGCCGGGAGUCAGAGGGCGUGGGCUAAGCUGCGCGCUCGAGAGGGAAACAGCCCAGACCGCCCGCUAAGGUCCCCAAGUCAUCGCUGAGUGGCAAAGGAUGUGCGUCUGCCCAGACAACCAGGAUGUUGGCUUAGAAGCAGCCAUGCAUUUAAAGAGUGCGUAACAGCUCACUGGUCGAGUGGACAUGCGCCGACAAUUCACGGGGCUAAGCGAUGCACCGAAGCGGCGGACUGAGAAUUCAGUGGUAGGGGAGCUCUCCGCGGGGGGCGAAGCAGCAGGGCGACCUGCUGUGGACCGCGCGGAGGUGAGAAUGCUGGCAUGAGUAACGAGACCAGGGCGAGAAACCCUGGCGCCGUGAGCCUAAGGGUUCCUGGGCGAGGCUAAUCCCCCCAGGGUCAGUCGGGAGCUAAGGCGAGGCCGAGAGGCGUAGCCGAUGCGCAGCGGGCAGACAUUCCCGCACCGCCGACGGCGCGGCAUUACCGAUGGGGCGACGGAGAAGGGUAGCCGGGCGGGGUUCUGGACGUCCCCGUGAAAGCGCGUAGGGCGCGCAGCGUGGAAACCAGCUGCGCACGAGGCCUGAGACGCGAGACGAAGCGACCGAGCGAAGCCGGUGAGCCCAUGCUUCCGAGAAAAACCUCUAGGGAGUGCCGUCGGCGCCCGUACCAAAACCGACACAGGUGGGCGGGUAGAACAUACCGAGGCGAUCGGGAGAACCACGGUUAAGGAACUCGGCAUACUGGCCCCGUAACUUCGGGAGAAGGGGCGCCCCCGCCGGUGAAGGCACUUGCUGCCGGAGCUGGCGGCGGCCGCAGCGAAACGGCCCAAGCGACUGUUUAUCAAAAACACAGGACUCUGCAAAGCGGUAACGCGACGUAUAGGGUCUGACGCCUGCCCGGUGCCGGAAGGUUACGCGGAUGCGUCAGCCGAAAGGCGAAGCGCUGAAGCCAAGCCCCGGUAAACGGCGGCCGUAACUAUAACGGUCCUAAGGUAGCGAAAUUCCUUGUCGGGUAAGUUCCGACCUGCACGAAUGGCGUAACGAUUUGGGCGCUGUCUCAACCGUGGACCCGGUGAAAUUGUACUGUUCGUGAAGAUGCGAACUACCCGCGGAAGGACGGAAAGACCCCGUGAACCUUUACUGCAGCUUGGCAUUGGCAUCUGGUACGGCGCGUAGAGGAUAGGCGGGAGCCUUUGAAGCGGGGGCGCAAGCCCCCGUGGAGGCGACCUUGGAAUACCGCCCUCGUCGUGCCGGCUGCCUAACGCGCGGCCGUGAUCCGGCGCGCGGACCGUGCCAGGCGGGUAGUUUGACUGGGGCGGUCGCCUCCCAAAACGUAACGGAGGCGCGCGAAAGGUCCGCUCAGGACGGUCGGCAACCGUCCCGAGAGCGCAAGAGUGCAAGCGGGCUUGACUGCGAGAGAGACACCUCGAGCAGGGACGAAAGUCGGUUCUAGUGAUCCGGCGGCACAGAGUGGAAUGGCCGUCGCUCAACGGAUAAAAGGUACUCCGGGGAUAACAGGCUGAUCUUGCCCAAGAGUCCACAUCGACGGCAAGGUUUGGCACCUCGAUGUCGGCUCAUCGCAUCCUGGGGCUGUAGCAGGUCCCAAGGGUUGGGCUGUUCGCCCAUUAAAGCGGUACGCGAGCUGGGUUCAGAACGUCGUGAGACAGUUCGGUCCCUAUCCUCCGUGGGCGCAAGAGAAUUGAGAGGAUCUGUCCCUAGUACGAGAGGACCGGGAUGGACGCACCUCUGGUGCCGCAGUUGUCGACCAACGGCACAGCUGCCUAGCUACGUGCGGAACGGAUAACCGCUGAAAGCAUCUAAGCGGGAAGCCGGCCUCGAGAUGAGUUCUCUCUUCGGUAAGGCCACUUGU